AGUGAACGCUGGCGGUAGGCCUAACACAUGCAAGUCGAACGGCAGCACAGUAAGAGCUUGCUCUUACGGGUGGCGAGUGGCGGACGGGUGCGGAGAACAUCGGAAUCUACUUUUUCGUGGGGGAUAACGUAGGGACACUUACGCCAAUACUGCAUACGACCUACGGGUGAAAGCAGGGGAUCUUCGGACCUUGCGCGAUUGAAUGAGCCGAUGUCGGAUUAGCUAGUUGGCGGGGUAAAGGCCCACCAAGGCGACGAUCCGUAGCUGGUCUGAGAGGAUGAUCAGCCACACUGGAACUGAGACACGGUCCAGACUCCUACGGGAGGCAGCAGUGGGGAAUAUUGGACAAUGGGCGCAAGCCUGAUCCAGCCAUACCGCGUGUGUGAAGAAGGCCUUCGGGUUGUAAAGCCCUUUUGUUGGGAAAGAAAAGCAGCAGGUUAAUACCCCGCUGUUCUGACGGUACCCAAAGAAUAAGCACCGGCUAACUUCGUG
Molecule: ribosomal RNA, 492 nt
Filed under: uncultured bacterium
Lineage: Bacteria
Description: partial 16S ribosomal RNA
Rfam family: Bacterial small subunit ribosomal RNA
Source: RNAcentral